CUAAUUUUUGUAUUUUUAGUAGAGAUAGGGUUUCAUGAUGUUGCACCAGGCUGGUCUCGAACUCCUGACCUCAGGUGAUCCACCCACCUCCGCCUCGCAAAGUGUUGGGAUUACAGGCGUGAGCCACCGUGCCUGGCCCCAACUAUUCUAUCUCAACAUAAAUCAAGAGAUGGGAGAAGAACAUGAUUCGGGAUGUGCUUCUCUGUUGCUCUACCAGUCAUCCCUUCUCACCCAUGGGGCUGAUGCCAGUGAUCACAACUUGGGAUAUUAAACGAGAAGCCAUUCCAUGAAAUCAGUGGAGCAGGUCAGCCACAGACAUCAAGCUAACCAGCCAGGUGAAAAACUGCUAUCAGCCAUUUUCAAAACUACCACUAAUUUUUUAAUGUUUGAAAACCAAAUUAGGGCUUGACUACCUUUUUUAGUCUGACCACUGCCCAACCUUGCCUUCAAGUGGCUCAUGGACCAGUGAGAGAGACUGACACACAACAGGUAACAGUGUACAGCCUCACUGACGCUCCGAUGAGGUGCCAUGGCCUCACCCAGGACACCUAACCCUGACUGGGUAGGGUGUAGGGGCGGCAGUGGGGGUCAGACCUGCUUUCUCAAGGAAGUGAUGCCCAUCUGGAUAUUUAAGGCUGAGGGGCAUGGUGGAAGCCCCAGCGUGGAAGCGAGUCUCAUCAAACUCUCCCUUAUACCCUAGAGAAGAAAACAGAAACGCAUGUGAACUGCUUUGUGAUCGAUUUAUUUUAAAACCAUGGGAAGAAAUUUUUAAAAACACACACACACUUUGAAGAAAACAAAUCUAGCAAACCUACUUUUUACCACAACUGAAGCAUAUGCCGAAAGCUCUCCUUUAACAUUCAUCGCCGAGGCCCGGUACUGAGCUGUAUCUUCAAAAUCACAUCUGAAAGAACAGACGGAAAUGAAUAUCCAUCGUAGUGACAAUCCUUGUAAUUACUAGCUGUUCUAUCAAGGAACUCUUUGCUAUCACAGCCCCCUGCAAAUCAGUGGCUAACACAUGGCUCUUUGGUUCUCCUGGUACAGCUAUUUGUCUCUGAUCUAGCUACCUGUGGGAUAUUACCUAGUCCAAGUGAUCUACUGCAGUUUCAUGCCAGCAGCAUAGACUGGGGAGAGAACACCUAUAGUUCACUGUGACCCUAGCCUGGGUUCAUUUAAAAUGUCAAAAAAAAAAGUCAACCAAGUGCUAGGCACAUAAAUUAUAGAGUGAACAGCAUUGUGAUCCGCUUACUUGUCUAAAGUUGCAUUGGGAGGAGAAAAUGUGCAGGCGUGUACCUUUGUAGCAAGUAACUACCCAGAGGCACACUGGAGGGCGUGGCUUUCCUGCUGUCCUGCCCUUGUGGUGGGUUUCAGUCUGGGGGCAACCAGGAAAUAGGGAAGAGAAAGAAGCAGUCCCUCCGUGUAGAUUCCCACAACCUCCCUGAGCCACGUUGGUCUAUGUGUUCUAGCUUCAAAGCUCAUCUAAGUUAUUUACACUUCAUUUCCACUAAGGUUCAGGCCAUACUUGGAAUUUCAGCUCACAGCACACAAGAAGCGCCAUUUGGAUGUUCUUCUAAGUUAUAAUACAGAAACUGGAAUUCUUAUAAAAAUGGACCAUUAGGGAGAGAAUGGUUUCAUGGAGAGAUGAAGAGGCUAAGGUUUCAAAGCAGGUUGUUUUAUGUCUUAUCAUUACCAGUUUCUCGUGUUCUUCAUUGUUUCUCGGGGUUUAGUUUCAUUUGUGUAAAUUUUUUUUCUUGCUGAAAUUUUACAGACAUCAAUAGAACCCCAGCAAGGCAAACACAGUUGCCCUUCUCAUAACUACUUAAUUUUGAAAGUAACCACAUAGCUCACUGUUGCUUUAGCAGAACCACCCACUGGCAGAACUGACCUGACUUUGGGUCAGGGUCAGUGCCUGGCAAAUGGCACAGGGUCCUAGCAUCAUUUGGCCAACUCCUCUGAUCUGAGGAGAAGGCUAUAAGUCUCCUGAGAAUGAAUGGUAUAAAUUUCACCUUGACACUUAGGCACAUCAUGGUUUUAUCUAAACUGAAAAUUCUGGGAACUUGUUUAGCUUUUCAUUGACCUAAUUAGGUUUGAAUUUCAAAAUCAUCUUGGGAGGCAAAAUAAACAUUUGGGAACUUAGGAAUUUUGAUGUAGGUUUCGUUUUCAAAUUUUGCUUUGGAUUUUACUUUAAGCUCAAACAUCUCAAUGUCUAGCCUGCUUCACAUACACAGAUUGACAGAGUGCAUACUUUCCCAUGGUUCCUGGCAAGCUGAAGGAAAGAACAUUAUCUCCAAGUUUAGCCCACAUUCAAUGCCACCUACCCGGAUCUCCAUGGCCUUUAGUUAUUAAAAACAAGAGACUGUGAUGAUGAUAUUGAUUUGGGACUCUGAAAUGAUUACUGAAUAUAAAUGCCUCUUUAUGCAACAUAUUUUUCUUACUUACAUCUAAGAAAAAUUCC
Molecule: long non-coding RNA, 2455 nt
Filed under: Homo sapiens (human)
Lineage: Eukaryota; Metazoa; Chordata; Mammalia; Primates; Hominidae
Description: HSALNT0247075
Source: RNAcentral